Molecule: long non-coding RNA, 666 nt
Organism: Symphalangus syndactylus (siamang)
Lineage: Eukaryota; Metazoa; Chordata; Mammalia; Primates; Hylobatidae
Source: RefSeq, a predicted model, not a curated record
GGAGCGGCGGCCAGGACAUCUGGGAGGUGGCUGGACCCGUGGCCUGGACUUUGGGGGGCGGUCGAGUUGGAUCGAUGAUCGAUGGGGACCCUGGCGGCCUUACCCUGGGGGACGUAGAGACGAAAAAGGAACUACGCUGUGCCCGGAAGGUGGUGGCUUUAGGUCCACAGGGAGGUGGUUGGCAAGCCGGGGGUAACAGGGGGAUGGAGGAGGAAAUCUGAAAUGCCGGUGUGAGCUCCGCGCCAAGAGAGUUGAGGACUCUGGAGGCAGGAAUCCCCCGUGGCCGCCCGCUGCUUGGCUGUGGGCUCCAACUUGGUGUGUGCUCAGAGAAGGCAGUGGUUGGAGUGAACAGGGCCUGUGCCAGGUGGGGAGAGUAGCCAAGGUGUUUGUGCAGCCUGGCCUCUGGCGUGGCCUGGGAAGAGAGCUGGAGUUCGCAGGGUGAGAGCUGCCCUGUGGCUGGGUGCCCGUGCUGGCGUCCCUGCCAGGCGGUGAUCUCACAGAGACAGGGUCUAGCUAUGUUGCCCCGGCUGGUAUCAAACUCCUGGACUCAAACGAAAGUGCUGAGAUUCCAGGCAUAAGCCAGCGCUCCCGGCCUGCAUACGGGAUGAUUCCGUGUGGACUGCCACAUCAAGGAAGCAAACAACAAGGAAAGCCUGGCGCUGCGUA